GAUGAACGCUGACAGAAUGCUUAACACAUGCAAGUCCACUUGAAUUUGGGUUUUUAACUUAGGUUUGGGUGGCGGACGGGUGAGUAACGCGUAAAGAACUUGCCUCACAGCUAGGGGCAACAUUUGGAAACGAAUGCUAAUACCUAAUAUUAUGAUAAUAGGGCAUCCUAUAAUUAUGAAAGCUAUAAGCGCUGUGAGAGAGCUUUGCGUCCCAUUAGCUAGUUGGAGAGGUAACGGCUCACCAAGGCGAUGAUGGGUAGCCGGCCUGAGAGGGUGAUCGGCCACAAGGGGACUGAGACACGGCCCGUACUCCUACGGGGGGCAGCAGUGGGGAAUAUUGGACAAUGGACCGAGAGUCUGAUCCAGCAAUUCUGUGUGCACGAUGAAGUUUUUCGGAAUGUAAAGUGCUUUCAGUUGGGAAGAAACAAAUGACGGUACCAACAGAAGAAGUGACGGCUAAAUACGUG
RNAcentral lists this ribosomal RNA (467 nucleotides) under uncultured bacterium. Its description in RNAcentral is "partial 16S ribosomal RNA". It matches the Rfam family "Bacterial small subunit ribosomal RNA", at positions 28 to 507 of the family's 1533-position model. The record is from RNAcentral.